UAGAAGAAAAAGUUGAAGCACUCCUCAAGUUAUCUCAGGUUAUGUACUUUAUCAUUUUAUAUAAAAUGAUAACAUAGCUUUACAUAACUACGUAUAAUAACUUUUUAUUUUUUUUAUUAUUUUACAGAGUCCAAAUAAGAAUGUAGAUGACAUGACUUCACGUGCUUUUACUCCUCAGGUUAUGUAUCUUAUAUUAUUUAUUGUUUGUUCAAUAUAAAUUCAGACUAUAUGGCGUACUAAUUUUAAAAAGAAUAUUUUCAUUUUAUUGUGAAUUUGUAGUCCCAACAAGGAAGUGGUAUCCAGGGAGGGACUACACAUUUGGAAAAUUCAAGGUGUCAAUUAUUGCAUUGGUACCAAUAUGAUGAGGAAGAAAUCGUAGUAGAAGGGAAG
This 390-nucleotide long non-coding RNA is filed under the name Olea europaea (common olive). Its description in RNAcentral is "long non-coding RNA (OEUR_LNC008388)". Lineage: Eukaryota; Viridiplantae; Streptophyta; Magnoliopsida; Lamiales; Oleaceae. The record is from RNAcentral.